CGUUCCCAGGCCUUGUACACACCGCCCGUCACAUCAUGAAAGCCGGUUGUACCCGAAGUCGCCCCUCGAAAGGUGCCGAAGGUAUGGCUGGUGAUUGGGAUG
RNAcentral lists this ribosomal RNA (102 nucleotides) under uncultured bacterium. RNAcentral describes it as "partial 16S ribosomal RNA". It matches the Rfam family "Bacterial small subunit ribosomal RNA", at positions 1369 to 1482 of the family's 1533-position model. The record is from RNAcentral.